Molecule: ribosomal RNA, 301 nt
Filed under: uncultured bacterium
Lineage: Bacteria
Description: partial 16S ribosomal RNA
Rfam family: Bacterial small subunit ribosomal RNA
Source: RNAcentral
CAGUAGCCGCGGUAAAACGGAGGGUGCAAGCGUUAAUCGGAAUUACUGGGCGUAAAGCGCACGCAGGCGGUCUGACAAGUCAGAUGUGAAAUCCCCGGGCUUAACCUGGGAACUGCAUUUGAAACUGUCAGGCUGGAGUCUUGUAGAGGGGGGUGGAAUUCCAGGUGUAGCGGUGAAAUGCGUAGAGAUCUGGAGGAAUACCGGUGGCGAAGGCGGCCCCCUGGACAAAGACUGACGCUCAGGUGCGAAAGCGUGGGGAGCAAACAGGAUUAGAUACCCGUGUAGUCCCUGUCUCUUAUAA